UUUCUGAGAAUUUCCACUCUGAAUUCACAUUCCGUUCAGUGUUAUCGCCACCCUGUGGAUUUCUUGGCUACCUCACUGGCUUUGAGCACAACCCAGGAAGAAGUUUGAAACCAAGAAAAUGGUGAUUGGGAAGACCAGGAUGCGCAAUGGCAAAAAUUAAUCAGACUGAUGAAAGAAAACAUUGUAAUAUGUAUAGCUCCUCCACGAAAAGUGUUUGCUGACAACUCUGGAAUACACAGUAGGCACCCAAUACAUACAAGGGAGUAAAUGAAUGAAUUAAAGCUGUCUGUAUCUGCUGAUCGUCCACAAUUUAGACGUCCUAUACUACAUUCCAAUUGAGGGUAAGCGGGGUACGUGUCCUGAAUUUGUAGAAUCUUUUGACACAAAGCAACAGAGCCACAGUCAAGACUCAAGUCAAAAGAAAUUUAGACCCCAUCUGGGCAAACAGGCCUCUAAGCAACAAUCUAAGAUUUCCACCUAUUGUUCUGGCAUUCCUUGUAUAAAUGAUUAUGACUGCAGAGAUCUUAGGAAGUGCUGUGGUACCUUUAGAUGUGGCCUGAGGUGCAUACAUCCUCUUAUGAUUGACCCUGUAUUGUUCAAUUCACCUCCACAAUCCAAGGCAUAAAUAUUGGAUGGAGAAAUGGAUUCAGAUGGAGGCAUCAUUGAGCUUAUUCUUGACUCAUCUCAGUCCAAACA
Molecule: long non-coding RNA, 696 nt
Filed under: Pan troglodytes (chimpanzee)
Lineage: Eukaryota; Metazoa; Chordata; Mammalia; Primates; Hominidae
Description: lincRNA
Source: RNAcentral